Molecule: non-coding RNA, 148 nt
Filed under: Endozoicomonas montiporae CL-33
Lineage: Bacteria; Pseudomonadati; Pseudomonadota; Gammaproteobacteria; Oceanospirillales; Endozoicomonadaceae
Source: RNAcentral
UAAAUUGAGGCAUCUUGCAGGCGGGGAUGUGUAUCUCCUGUCCCGUUUGGGGGUUUCGUCCUUUUCGUGCGGCACGGUCAGUGACGGAAAAUGUACCAAAUCCGAUCAGCUGCAGUGCAUCUCCUGUUGCAAGAGAUUCCUGAGUUCG